Molecule: long non-coding RNA, 541 nt
Filed under: Homo sapiens (human)
Lineage: Eukaryota; Metazoa; Chordata; Mammalia; Primates; Hominidae
Description: HSALNT0085956
Source: RNAcentral
CUUUUUCUUGCUGCCGUCUGUGGAACAAUUGCUGAACUAUUGAAAACUGCACACCAAGGGCCUCAAUAGGAAAAAGAUGCCUCCCUGGUCGACCUUCCUGGAAAGUAUGCAUAUCAUUACUGCUUAGAUUUUGUUGGAGAGAAAUCACACUACCAUCAAAGACAACGGGUCAAAAAGAAUGCCGUCCUAAGCUGAGAAGCCAUCUUCCUAACGACAGCCAUGUAAUAUGAAAGGGAAAAACACACUGUUAUUGAAGAACUUAUCAGCUAUGUCACAUCUUCCACACAAAUACUCAGGAAAGUUAAAAGAAAAUUUUACCUCGGACACAGUUGAUGUACCUCAGUCUUGUACAAAACUUAGAACUCACUAAGUCUGAAAUAAGACUUUAAACUCUCUCUGAGGUGAAGUUGUAAUACAGUGAGAAUGAUAAUAUAUAGUAUAUUAGGAUUUACUUACUCCUGUGUUGUUCUGGACUAUAGACUGCCACACAUAUCAGAUGCACAUGACUGACAUGUAUAUCUUCAUUUUGCUAUUAUUUGUG